Molecule: non-coding RNA, 147 nt
Organism: Caenorhabditis elegans
Lineage: Eukaryota; Metazoa; Nematoda; Chromadorea; Rhabditida; Rhabditidae
Source: Ensembl
AUAACAUUUCGUACCUUAAGUUUAGUAGUACUAUCACUAUCGCUUACUAAACGGGAUGACACAUGUGGUAUAUAAACAUAUAUAUAUAUAUACGUCCCCUCACUAUGUGUGGUAGUGCUAAAGGAGAAAAAUGGAGAAAGAAGAAAA